UGGCCGAUUUUGGCACUAGCACAUUUUUGCUUGUGUCUCUUCGCUCUGAGCAAUCAUGUGCAGUGCCAAUAUGGGAAA
Molecule: non-coding RNA, 78 nt
Organism: Pteropus alecto (black flying fox)
Lineage: Eukaryota; Metazoa; Chordata; Mammalia; Chiroptera; Pteropodidae
Source: Rfam